Molecule: ribosomal RNA, 496 nt
Filed under: uncultured bacterium
Lineage: Bacteria
Description: partial 16S ribosomal RNA
Rfam family: Bacterial small subunit ribosomal RNA
Source: RNAcentral
AUGAACGCUGGCGGCGUGCCUAAUACAUGCAAGUCGAGCGAACAGACGAGGAGCUUGCUCCUCUUACGUUAGCGGCGGACGGGUGAGUAACACGUUGAUAACCUACCUAUAAUACUGGGAUAACUUCGGGAAACCGGAGCUAAUACCGGAUAAUAUAUUGAACCGCAUGGUUCAAUAGUUAAAGACGGUUUUGCUUUCACUUAUAGAUUGAUCCGCGCCGCAUUAGCUAGUUGGUAAGGUAACGGCUUACAAAGGCAACGAUGCGUAGCCGACCUGAGAGGGGGAUCGGCAACACUGGAACUGAGACACGGUCCAGACUCCUACGGGAGGCAGCAGUAGGGAAUCUUCCGCAAUGGGCGAAAGCCUGACGGAGCAACGCCGCGUGAGUGAUGAAGGUCUUCGGAUCGUAAAACUCUGUUAUUAGGGAAGAACAAAUGUGUAAGUAACUAUGCACGUAUUGACGGUACCUAAUCAGAAAGCCACGGCUAACUACGUG